This 910-nucleotide ribosomal RNA is filed under the name uncultured bacterium. Its description in RNAcentral is "bacterial SSU rRNA". It matches the Rfam family "Bacterial small subunit ribosomal RNA", at positions 8 to 916 of the family's 1533-position model. The record is from RNAcentral.
AGAGUUUGAUCCUGGCUCAGGACGAACGCUGGCGGCGUGCCUAAUACAUGCAAGUCGAGCGGGGUGUCGGAGUGGAGUCCUUCGGGAUGAAGCACCGUCAACCUAGCGGCGGACGGGUGAGUAACGCGUGGGUAACCUGCCCUAAAGCCCGGGAUAACACCGGGAAACUGGUGCUAACACCGGAUACCUUCCGAAGAGGGCAUCCUUUUUGGAAGAAAGGUUAACGCUUUAGGAUGGGCCCGCGUCCCAUUAGCUAGUUGGUGAGGUAACGGCUCACCAAGGCAGUGAUGGGUAGCCGGCCUGAGAGGGUGGACGGCCACACUGGGACUGAGACACGGCCCAGACUCCUACGGGAGGCAGCAGUAGGGAAUAUUGCGCAAUGGGCGAAAGCCUGACGCAGCGACGCCGCGUGGGUGAUGAAGGCCUUCGGGUUGUAAAACCCUGUCCUUGGGGAAGAAGGAAGUGACGGUACCCAAGGAGGAAGCCCCGGCUAACUACGUGCCAGCAGCCGCGGUAAUACGUAGAGGGCAAGCGUUGUCCGGAAUCACUGGGCGUAAAGGGUACGUAGGCGGAUAUAUAAGUCAAAUGUGAAAGGCACCGGCUUAACCGGUGAGCUGCAUUUGAAACUGUAUAUCUUGAGUUCAGGAGAGGAGAGCGGAAUUCCUGGUGUAGCGGUGGAAUGCGUAGAUAUCAGGAAGAACACCAGUGGCGAAGGCGGCUCUCUGGCCUGAAACUGACGCUCAGGUACGAAAGCUGGGGUAGCAAACGGGAUUAGAUACCCCGGUAGUCCCAGCCGUAAACGAUGGACACUAGGUGUUGGGGGUUCGAAUCCUUCAGUGCCGAAGUUAACGCAUUAAGUGUCCCGCCUGGGGAGUACGGUCGCAAGACUGAAACUCAAAUGAAUUGACGG